AUGAGCAAAUCACUAGGUGUCAAGAUCAGCAAGUUGUCAAUCUAUGAAAAGGAAUUCAUGGCAGUGAUCAUGGCAAUUGAUAAGUGGCGAUGUUAUCUAGAGAGAGGCUUCACCAUUUUGACUGAUCACCAGAGCCUUUGUUCCUUAACCGAUCAACAUCUCGCCACUGAACUCCAAAAGAAGGCAAUGUCUAAGCUCCUGGGGUUGCAAUUCACAAUUAAGUAUCGCAAGGGAAGUGAGAAUAAUGCUGCAGAUUCCUUGUCAAGGGUAGCUCAUCUCCUCCAUCUCGAUGCCUUAUCCAUUUGCAGACUAGAUUGGGCACAAGAAAUUCUCAAUUCUUAUGAGGCGGAUCCGGAAGCAAUAGACUUACUCGCUCAAUUAGCAGUGAAGAGUCCGGAUGCCAGAGGUUAUUCCUUGGUUAAGGGGCUUAUUCGUUACAAUGGACGCCUCUAUAUUGGCAAUCAGUUGGCCUUACAGACCAAAUUGAUAAGUGCUUUACACGACAGCCCGGUGGGAGGACAUUCUGGUAUUCAUGCUAUGUACCAGCGAUUGUGUAAGGUUUUCUUUUGGCAUGGGCUUAAGAUUGCAGUGGAGGACUUUGUCAAACAAUGUCCAACUUGUCAGAAGUGCAAGAACGAGCAUAUACACCCAGCGGGUAAACUACAACCACUCCCUAUUCCUACCAAACCUUGGAAUGAUAUUACCAUGGACUUUGUGGAAGGCUUACCAUUGUCUGAUGGUAUGAAUGUGAUACUAGUGGUGGUUGAUCGUUUGCCAAUUAUGCUCAUUUUAUACCCCUACGUUGAAGGAAAUAUGCCCUAG
RNAcentral lists this ribosomal RNA (822 nucleotides) under Triticum aestivum (bread wheat). RNAcentral describes it as "partial small subunit ribosomal RNA". Lineage: Eukaryota; Viridiplantae; Streptophyta; Magnoliopsida; Poales; Poaceae. The record is from RNAcentral.